RNAcentral lists this long non-coding RNA (9998 nucleotides) under Musa acuminata (dwarf banana). Its description in RNAcentral is "long non-coding RNA (MACU_LNC002514)". Lineage: Eukaryota; Viridiplantae; Streptophyta; Magnoliopsida; Zingiberales; Musaceae. The record is from RNAcentral.
GUAGGUUGGUAAAUAUGCAUGCGAACAUCUAUGAUUGGGCUGGAGAUCGAGGCAUCGUUAACUCCUUCUUCAUGCUGCAGCGGCACUGAGUGCGGUGGGGGCAAGGCAAGAUGAGCCGUGCUGCAGAUGCGCGUGUCCUCUCAUUUACCCACCUACUUGGUGCAUUUGCGGCGGCAUAUGGCAAGGCUCCUGCCCUUCCGCCUGCAACAACUGCCAGUGUGUCCUCAACGAGUGCACUUGCCUCGAUCUUAUGGACCCCAAGGUCUGCGAGGCCAACUCCUGUCCCUGGCCUGUUGCAGCCCCCAAAGUAGAGCCGGCGCAGCAGUGGGCUAUCGAAGAAACCGGUGGGAAAUUAGCGAUGAUGGUGUGAUCCAAUUGUGUUUGUGAUCGCCUGUCGUCUUCUCUCGCUCCGUCCUAUCCAUCUAUCCAUCCAUCUACUUAUAAUCUAUGUCGUGUACCGUCGUGUGGUGUUGCUUUGCUUCAGUAAUAAAAAUAAAAUGCUUCUGCUUUUAUCGCGACGGAUGCAUCGUUGCACUGCUAAUUGUGUACCUAAUUUUGGCAUGAGAGUUUGGAAAAGUUCAUCUCGGAAAAUUGCUCGACAGGUGACUUCCGGGAGAAAGGAGAAAAUAUAGGAGACAAUAGUAGUGUAACAAAUCUUUUUUAGUUCAUCACUAAACUAAUAUAAUAUAUAGGAGAUAUAAUAUAGAUGGCAUAAGUGUUAAUAGAAAUUGAUUUGUGAUAUAAGCUAAUAGAUAAUUUAAACAUCCAUUAAAAGUCCGAUUCCAUGCAAUCUAAUAAUUCAUUGUACUUGUAAUGAGUCAAUUACGGGGUAAUAGAUGGUUGUAAUUGACUGAAGUCACUGAACAUUAAAGGGGUAAAAGCCAUCCACGUACUUUCUUUUCAUUGUCUACUAACAUGAUCUGUCGGAAAUUUUCAAUCAGAUGUUCUUUCAACAAAACAUAUCUCCGGAGGAACACUCCACACUAUGAAGAGAUGAUAUAUCGACCGCUAAUCUCCAUGCCUUCUCUUGCCUUUCUUUACUCCAAACCUCCAUAUUGCUUUAAUUAUGUUGUUUGUUCUGCCCAUUACUGUGAAGCAAAAUAAAUAAAUAAAUAUAUAUAUAUGUGUUAUUUAAAAAAUUAUUAAUAUAUAGGGAUCGAUCAACAACUAAAAUGUUGAUCGCAAUGAAGUCCAAAUCACAUCAAAGUUGCCUUCUGAUUGAAAUGUUGCAACAAUUAUGUGGAUCAAUAUUCCACAAGCAUCGUACAUGAAAACGACGUGUGUGGUAGCAUUAUUGAUGUGAGUAGGUGUCAUUGCUGAUUGGACAUCGUAGAAAACGUGCUCCAUAUCAUCCUUCUUCUUUGGAAGAUAAGGAUGAAUGGAUGGCAAAUAUAGAACGCAAGAAACGCUUCUCUUAGUAGGAAUGGCACAUUGAAUUAAAUUAGAGUGUACAGUGGAUAAAAUUUUACUCGGAUUAUCACUUAUGUUGGAUAGAUAAAUUUACACUUGAUUUGCGAUAUAAGAGUUUCCUACUGGAAGCUCACUCAGCAAGUACGUCUGCCUUUGAAUAAAUGGCAUGAUAUGUUUUAGAUAUGUCAAUAUCGAAACUCUCGUCGGUGGGUAUAUAGUAACUUUAUGAUUCUCUUUGUACUCACCGGAGUUUAUCUCUAAGAUAAUAUCAUGAUACUAAUAUAAUAAAAAUUAGAGGGACAUAUAUAAAGGUAGAAGCCCAACUUAACUUUUCUUUUAUCCUUCUUAUUAUGUCCAAAAGACUCUUCCUACAAAGGAUCAUUAUCUAACUAGAGUAUCAAAAGAGAGUCGCAGGGAUCCUUUGGUGAUCCUCUUUUGUUUUGUAAUUCCCUCUUCAGAUAAUUAGAUCUUUUGGAUCUUGUUUUGCUCCACAAUGUUCUAUCGUCCAAAUAUAAUAAAAAUUAGAGGGACAUGGAUAAGAGUAGAUAACUUGGUAGGGUUGGGUUGGUUGAAUUUGCUGGGGUGAGAUAGAUAAAGUGAGUUCUUCAGUAGCAACAUUGUUAUUUAUAGGAGUUGAAUCAUCAUAGGCUUGUAAGUCAAAAGUGGUAAAUUUGUAAUGAUAAUAAUAAGACUUACGAUUUGGUUGCACAGUUGAUCAAGGAAAUGUGUUCAUGGAAAAUAACAUUCGACUUGUGAAUAUUUAUUUAGUCUCUAAAUUAUAGACUUUAUAAGCCUUUUGAUUGAAGGGAUAUCCAAUAAAAAUGUAUUUUUGAGUACGUAUAUUUUUGGGUUGAAUGUUUAUAGAAAUACAUAAACAAUCAAAUACACGUAGAAGGUCAUAAAUAAAUAUAUUAUCGAUUAUAAAUAACUUUAAAUGGUAUCUUUCUUGAACGGAGGGAUAUGGUUAGAAGACUAAUAAGUUUAGUUGUUGUUAGCACACUGUAAAAAAACUUCGUACAGGAUUGAACUUACUUUCAUUAUCUACUAGAAUUCAUCUUACCUUUCGACGAAAUUGAUUUUCAACAAAAAUAUAAAAAGAUUUUAAAAGUGUUUGUGUUUCAUAUUUAAAGUGGAUGAGAUAUAUCCAUGUAUUCCUAGAACAAUCAUCUACAAUAGCUAGAAAAUAAUGAUGGGAGACCAAGAUGUCUAUGCCAUAGAUCAUGUUGUGAAGAUAUAUUAUUGACUUUUGUGAUGGGUAGUAUUGUUAGAGGUGAUGUAUAUGUAGAAAAGAAGUAGAGACCAAUUAUCUUCUUCAUUGCCAAAUCUUGUAAGAGGCAAAAAUCAGAAGGAAAAAAAAGUGAUUGAGCAAUUCAAAAAUUUAGUUAUCAUGCUGAUUGAUAAUAGAUUAACAUAAAAUGAAGACACGCAAACAAUAUCUAAAAGAAUAAUUUCAUGAUUAAGUUUGGUGGAACCAAUAGAAGUUAUUUGUGUUUUUCUUCCAUCAGGUAGUCCAAUAACAGAAUGUGAAAAGAUAUUUGUUUUACGUAAUAGACGAGGAAAUAACGCAAUAUGAUCAUCUGUAGCACCACUACGAGAUAAGAAAUAAAAAAAAAAAUAGAAUAACCUGUAACAUUUGCCUAUGGCAAAGUGUUACCAUUGCUUAAGAAGGCCAAAAGUUGAUAUUAUUCAUGCGCAAAAAUUGGAGUAUAUGACCAGUUAUUGACAGAUGCCUUUAUUCUAUUUCCUGAUUUCUCAUUUUUCUUGUAAACUUUAUAUUCAAGAGGGAAGCCAUGUAAAUGAUAGCAUUUGUCAGCGGUCCGAUUGUUCCCAUUACAAUGGCCACAAUAAAACUUUCCUUUCGUAUUAUUUGAUGAGUUGAUAACAGGAUUGCUUUUUCGAGCACUUGCCAUCAUGACCUCUUUAAAAACAAUCAAUUCUAAUUGUUUUUCUUCUGAAUUAUUGAGAAUUUUGUAAGCAUAAAAUCUGUGAUAUUAUAUAUAUAUAUAUAUAUAUAUAUAUAUAUAUAUAUAUAUAUAUAUAAUACGAAAAAAAUUUUAUGUCAUGAUUGAAAUCAAAUAACAUUAGAUUAUAUUUACGAUAUAUAUCUUUUGAUGUCAUCUGAAAAAGAUAUUUGUGUGAUCUGCAAAGAUAUUGUCCUCCGACUUCGACUAUCACAAUGACGUCAAUCUACAAGAAAUCAUAAUCUCUUAAUUGCAUUCUCUAUGACAUAUAUCAUAGAGUCCCUAGAGGUAUAUCUUUUUAUAAGCGAGAGUAAACGGUUUAAGAUAGGUUAUUAUGAGAUUUCCUCUUAUCAUCAUGGACGUCCCUUAAAUAAUUUUACUAUAAUAUAGAUUUUUUUUUAUUGAUCAAUAUCUAUCAUCAAAAUCAAAUUAAUUAUAUUAUAUAUUUUAUCCAAUUAUGAACGAUCACAUAAUCUAACAAAUUUAACCAUAAAUAGUAGAAUAUGACUCAUUUAAACCCAUGAGAAAUUGCAUUACCUUACUCCUUUGCUCAUGUUCAUCAACUUUCUUGAUUGCACCACAUGUUAUGUGGAAAGUUCAUCCCAUAACCCCUUUAAUUUGGUAAAAUAUACAGCGAGCGAUAGACGUUGACCCAUGUAGUAGUGAAUUUAGAAUAUUCUAGGAGUAUUAUUUUGUGAAAAUCUUUCUUUCAGAUCAGUUAAAACAUCAAUAGCAGAAUCGACAUAUAUGUCACUAUUAGCAAGAUUAGAAUCCACAGAGUUGAAGAUCCAUGAUAAUACUAUAUUAUUGCAUUCUUUUCACAUGGAAAAAUUUGUGUCGGUUGUUGACGAUGUCUUGAUCGAUCCAACAACGAAACCAAUCUUGUUUUUAGCUCUAAGAACUAUGCUCAUUGAACGACUCCAAGUGCUACAGUUAUCACCAUUCGAUGGCUUACUAAACAAGACAAUCCCUGGAUGAUCCGAGUGGUGAAGAAGAAAGGCGACCAAAAGAUUCACAAAAGAUGAAUAUAUCAUGCUAUAAAAUAUCUUCCCAAGAUGCACACCUUUCGUGUCUGCUACGAUCAUUGCGACUUCCACCUCCACAAGUGUUAAUGCAACACUCGUGGCUUCAUCACAUACCGCGCCUCAAUAGGAUUGACUUCAAAUAGGUAGACAAGUAGGCUCUUUGGAGAUCGUCUUUGUGGCAUAGCGAUAAUACAAAAGUAGUAGUGGAAGCUAAACUAUUUUGGUGGUUUUGAUACCAUAUAUAAAAAAAAUACUUGGGAGAAAUAUAAAAUUUCAUUGAACCCACUUUACGUUCCCAGAGUUUAUCUCCUCGAAGAUAAUGCCAUGAUAUCAAUAUAAUAGAAAUUAGAGGGACAUAGAUAAUGUUAGAAGCCUAACUUUGUUUUUUUUUAUCCUUAUUAUGUACAAUCGGACAUUAUCUGACGUGGGUAUUAGAAGAGAGUCGCAUGGAUCCCUUGGUGACGCUCUUUUAUUUUACAAUUUCCUCUUCGGAUGAGUAGAUCGAUUGUAUUGGAGACCCUUCAAUCUUGUUACGCUUAGUAAUAUUUUAUCGUCUUAUAAUAAUUGUUGUGGUUCUUUAUAUUGUGGCCCAAGAUCCAACAUAGUUUGAUUCGGUCCUGAUCGUGCGAGGGCAUCCACAUAGUCGCUUUGAAGGAUGACUGAAGAGGGAACGGAGAACCGAGGCUAGUAUCUCCUGGUCGACUCGAAAUGGAGCUGAGGUUAUCUCUGAUGUCGAAUUCCUACACAAUAGGUCGAUGUCAGGAAGGGAGAUUCCCGACUCGACCCCUCCAAAGCUUAGGUCAGUUUUUUAAUAAUAGUGAUUCAUAUCCCUAACGUAUACUUAGGGGUGACAUUUUAUACCUCUCGUUGAAGGUUAAUCGUAUGCAGGCUGUUAAUGACCAUCGACAUUCCAUGUGGUCUGUUCGUCCACUCCAAAUGGCAUGGGCUGACUGCUUUGGUUUCACCGCAGCGUGAGGCUGUCUUGCUUGAUUUUGAGUACUACUUCGUAUGGUCCCAUUUCGAGAUGCAAUCAGUAGUGCAACUUUUAGAUGCAUGCAUUAUGUCGAUGAGAUGGUGUCAUGUUGAUUCUACGAUGGCUAUCGAUUAUCAUUGUGGGCAGACACCAAAAUAUCCCAUAUCAAUAAUGAUAUAAGUUAUUGCUAUACAGACAAAUGAAUCUAGUCAGCCCUUUCCAUUUCUUCCUCAAUCUAGACAAAUUGUCAUUAUAUAUUAGAUAAAACCACUCACUUGCUGUAUAAGCCCGAAUUUUUUAAAAGCAGAAGUUGCUUAGUACAGAAUAAUUUAAAGCAACAAAAAAAAUCAUGGCUUGAUAUUUGAUAUUGUAGCUAUUUUUAAAGAAGGAACUCAUUAAUCUAUUCUGUUAGAUUAUGUGGUACAAUAACUUAUGAUAAAAUAAAUUAAAAUUUUAAUUAAAUUCGCCGCACAUUGUUCACGUUGCCAUCCCAACGAUUGCAACUAUGGGAUUCAAUAAUUCACUUGGGACGUAUGGAUAAUCCUCGACCACGUAAAAAUAAUUAAAAAUAUUUCCAUCUGCAUCACGCGGAUGCAUUCGUAUUAUAUUGUGGGGGACAAUAAUCAAUGCACCAAAUCUGGUACUGCAACUUUUUAUCUUGUUAUCGUCGUUCCAGGUUAAGUGUAAAAUUGAGAGUGAGAGAGUAGACACACUUGAGUUCUUGAAUUCCGAAUCCAUUAUUUCUUCUUGUCAACAAAUAUGUCCCACCAUACCCAUCAUAUAUUAAAGGCUCGAGCAUCGUGGCACUAUAAAUAGGACAAGAGGAGGGCGGAGGGAAAACGCACUACAUCAUACUUGCACGGGUGCAUUGUGAUAGAAAGCUCAGCGGUAAGCAAUGGCUGGAGGAGGCAAAAAGAGGUGAAGGGUCGUCUUCUUCUAAUUGUUGAUAAGGUAUGUUUGGGUUACGCGUCACAACCAACGCCACACUACGUUAUAGUUGGGUUAGCAAGGGGAGCACCCCCACACACUAAGUCAGAAUUCGUAUCGAUGCCGGAUCAGCAAGGGGAGCAUCCCCACAUACUAAGUCAGAAUCAGUACCAAGACACUGUUCGAUAUGUCUCGUCCCAUAAGUUUGGGGCGACGCCGUCUGAUGUCGUCCCGCAUGUCCCGGGACAACGGUCGCACAGUACCGUCUCAUCCCCCGAGGAUCAAUCGACACACUAAACCCGCAUGCGACCGACUCUCGUAUAAUAAUAUAAAAAUCCUUAGCCAACAUCCAUCCAAGGAGGAGGGAAGGACACAAAGGAGAAGAGAAAAACAACUACUAACUUGCUCGUCGGAUGGGCCAAAGUCAGGAAUCCCCGACGAAGGUCACUUUUAUAGGCAAGUGGCCGCCCCCGAGCAACAAGCGUCUCGACAUGGGAAUCGUCAUCCAGUGAACGAAGGCGAGCUGCCAACCAGCCUGGGAACGAAGAGACGCUGCUCAACGCAGAUGACGCCCGGACCAAGAAACGUUGAUUAACACCCCGUCGCGAGGGCCCGGCCUACCUUAGCGUCCAACUCAGUCAGCAGAAGACUACCGACAUCGACUCGUGGACCGAGCCGUGCUGACUCACCAGUCACGGCACAUUUGUUCACCAACACUUGUGACGCUGCUCGUGACGUAGUUGGCCUUCUUCGCCACCGACUCCUCGGCAGCCCGUGUCACACCCCGUCCGCAAUCCCUCGCCAGAGGUAGGUAGAUAAAUAUGCAUGCGAACAUGUAUAUGAUUGGGCUGGAGAUCGAAGCAUCGUUAAUUCCGUCUUCAUGCUGCAGCGGCACUGAGUGCGUUGGGAGCAAGGGCAGAUGGGCCGUGCUGCAGAUGCAUCUGUCCUCUCAUUUACCCACCUACUCGGUGCAUUUGCGGCGGCGUAUGGCAAGGCUCCUGCCCUUCCGCCUGCACCAACUGCCAGUGUGUUCUCAACGAGUGCACUUGCCUCGAUCACGUGGACUACAAGGCCUGCGAGGCCGAUUCCUGUGCCUGGCUUGAUGCAGCCCGCAAAGUAGAGCCGUCGCAGCAGUGGGCGAUCGAAGAAACCGGUGGGAAAUUAGCGACGAUGGUGUGAUCCAAAUGUGUUUGUGUUCGCCCGUCGUCUUCUCUCUCUCUCUCCGUGCUAUCCAUCUAUCCAUCCAUCUACUUAUAAUCCAUCUCGUGUACCGUGCGGUGUUACUUCGCUUCAGUAAUAAAAUGCUUGUGCUUUUAUGGUGACGGAUGCAUCGUUGCACUGCUGAAUCCACGUACGACGACCACUUGAAAUGAUGAAUAUUUUGUAUGAUAACUAUUAUUCCAAAACAUCGGCAAUAAAUUAUACACGUAAUAUUGAACAUGCUGUCUGCUGUAUAAGUCGACCAAGCCGAUUUAGAUUCAUCAAGAUCCUAAUUCACUUCUCAAUUAGGUAAACUUUACUAGAUCAGCGAUCAUCAUUUAAUCGAAACCAUAUUAUAGAGUUGGAUUUCAUAUGUGAAGUUAUAGCACCCAUUGAACAGCUUAGGUCCUUGGAAAUUUUAUCUGCUGCAAUCUCUAAUGUUAUAGCACCCAUCGAAAAGUCAGUCCUUUUAGUUUUUGUUUUUCUUAUGUUAUUGGAGCCUGAAAUCAGUGAGUAACACCUGCUAAGAAUGGACCCGGUCAGAGACUCCCUUACGUUGUCUCGAUAGGAUAUGCUUGAGGAGGAUCCUACAAUGCCAGACUAACGUUACUUCUGCCACCAUAUGCUGAGAAUAAAUUUAACUUAGUAGUAGAUGAUCAUUUUUCAGUAAUAAAUUUAACUUAGUAAUAUCUAUAUGUAGUAUUUUAAACAUUAAAUUAAUGGUGGUGCAUUAAACCAAUUUAUUAUAGGUUUAAUAUCGAAGUUUUAUCUAAUAUAUUUUUAAAAAAUACUAGUUAGCUUAGCUAAUAAAUAUUUUAUGAUGUAUCACAAUAUCUUGGGUUAGAAUUUUGCUGCUAGUCAUUAAAAAAUAAUAUAUAAAUUACUUCAUCUACUAAUUGGACGGGCUGCUGCACCGGUCCUUAGAAUCUUGCCUUCACGAACAAGUAGGUGAUAGAUACUGUUCGUUGCUUCUCCCUCCCCUCCCUCAACUUGCCCAUAUUUAUAGUGCAUGGAGAGGUCCGCCACGCACUUGAUGGUUGGCUUGGGUGGUUAAGAGCUGCCAUAAACAUCCACGAGCUGAGCGUGGAAUUGUUUUUAGUUACUUUCAAGUUGUCAUGUCUAUCAGUAAAAUGAUUACAGAUUCCCAAAGGAAUACAGUACUGUUGUAGACAAGUAAUUAAUAUUGAUUUCACGCGCAACGCGCCGAUGCACGCCGAGUUCCCGUCCCCAUCGUUCGAAUAGUCUAUGGCUGCUCUUAUCCACCCAAGCCAACCAUCACAUGGUGCGCGGAUCUCCAUGCAGUAUAAAUAUGGCCAAAGGGAGGGAGUGUGGUAGAAGCAACGAGCUGUACUGACUCAUACAUACAUAGGUCGUGUGUGAUAGAGAACUAAACAAUGGGUGGAGGAGGAGGCAGAAGAGGUACUGAAGCCUCUCUUCUUCUUCUUCUUCGUCUUCUUCGUAUGCUGAUGCUGGCCUUCAUCGCCACCAACUCAGCAGUAGUUGCCUCUCCCUCCCCUUCUAUUUGAACGGUGGGGACCGGAGCUCGGCGUGCAUCCGCGCGUUGCGCGUGAAAUCAUUUUUACUUACUCGUCCACAACAGUACUUUAUUUGUUUUGUAAUCUGUAAUCAUAUUAAUUAAAGAUACGUCAACUUGAAACUAAAUAAAAACAAUUCCAUCUGCAUCGCGCGGAUGCAUUUAUAUUAGAUUAUAGGGGACAGUAAUUAAUGCACCGAUGCACCUUCACCAUGUCUGGUGCUGCAACUUUUAUCCGGCCAUCGUUGUUCGACGUUCAAGUGUCAUCUUGAGAGAGAGAGAGAGAGAGAGGACACUAUCGAGCUCUUGAAUCCUGCAUCCAUUAUUUAUUCUCAUGAACACGCACAUCCGGUUGAAUGAAGUCACAUGCAUUUAUGGGAUAUUUAAAUCCAGCUUACCGUCCGACUAUUGAUGGCUCGUGGCUCGAGCAUCGUGGCACCAUAAAUAGGACAAGAGGAGGGCAGAGCGAAAACGCACUACCUCAUACUUGCACAGGUACGUUGUGAUAGAAAGCUCAGCGGUAAGCAAUGGCUGGAGGAGGCAAAAGAGGUGAAGCGUCGUCUCUUCUCCUUGUGACGCUGCUCGUGACGUUGUUGGCCUUCUUCGCCACCGACUCCUCGGCAGCCCGUGUCACACCCCAUCCGCAAUCCCUCGCCAGAGGUAGGUAGAUAAAUAUGCAUGCGAACAUGUAUAUGAUCGGGCUGGAGAUCGAGGCAUCGUUAAUUCCGUCUUCAUGCUGCAGCGGCACUGAGUGCGUUGGGGGUAAGGAAAGAUCCGCCGUGCUGCACAUGCGUCUGUCCUCUCAUUUACCCACCUCCGUUUUGCUUUUGCGGCGGCGUAUGGCAAGGCUUCUGCCCUUCCGCCUGCACCAACUGCGAGUGUGUCCUCAACGAGUGCACUUGCAUCGAUCGUGUGGACCCCAAGGCCUGCGAGGCCGACUCCUGUUCCUCGCUCGAUGCAGCCCCCAA